Long non-coding RNA from Cotesia glomerata, 348 nucleotides. RefSeq lists it as uncharacterized. The record is from RefSeq and is a predicted model, not a curated record. The transcript has 3 exons. Lineage: Eukaryota; Metazoa; Arthropoda; Insecta; Hymenoptera; Braconidae.
AACUAUCUCUACUGAUGAUACAAAUUUAGAUAUAUCUGCACAGCCCAGAGAGAUUAUAACAGAGCUCACAAAUAUUCAUUCUACAAAUCCUAUAAACAACAAAAGUUCAUCAAUUAGAACUUAUGAUAGAAAAUUCAGAUCCUAUGCUUGCAAUGAUUGACAAAUAUCGUUCUAUUCACAAGAUUUUAUCAAUAACUGUUGAUAAAGAUAAAUGUUCCGAAAAACCUCCGAAAGAAAUAUUCACUUUGCCAUUGAAUUAUUUACCGAAGAAAAAAACAAUAAAAAUUGAAAAAAACAGGCAAGUCAAAGUUAUCAUUUGUGGACACCUCUGAUGAAUGGUACAAACAA